This 1170-nucleotide long non-coding RNA is filed under the name Homo sapiens (human). RNAcentral's name for it is "non-protein coding lnc-MAP3K8-24:1". The record is from RNAcentral. Lineage: Eukaryota; Metazoa; Chordata; Mammalia; Primates; Hominidae.
ACUCGCUGGGAGGCAGCUGCGAUUAGCGCCCUAAUCCCCAGCGCAGACCGCGCAGAGACCGGAGCGGGAGCGGGGCCGCGGCGGGAGCCCCCCACCGUCCCGGGCAGUCCAGACGGCCGGGGCAGCGUGGGAACUGGGACCUCGGGGACCCAGCGCGGCGGCUGUCAGCUCUGGGCCUACACACCCAUGGAAGAGAAAAUCCCUGUGAAAUAUAAGGGCCCCUUCUACGUGCUCAAGAUUAAAAAAAAAAAAAAGGAAAAAGUAGCUCUCACAUGCUUUUGGCAAGUUUUUGAACCAGCUGAUGUAUGGGCCAGGUGAUGUAUGGACCCCUGAUAUAUGGAGCAGCUGAUGUAUGGACCCCUGGUAUAUAGACCACUGAUGUGUGAACCUCCUGAUGAGUGACCCACCAAUAUAUGGACCAGUUGAUGUAUGGACCCACUGAUGUAUGGACCAGCUGAUGUAUGCACCCACUCAGGGAUGGAAGAAAAGGGGAGACUGUGGUUCACCUUCAGUGAUAUGUAAUUGGGAAGACCAAACUUGCACCUCUGAACAAGGAGAGACCAAGACGUGAGAAAGGAGGACUCAGGAAGGAUUUGAAUGCUGCGUCGGAUGUCCCUAGACUGGAGAACAGGCACGGCCUACUUGGCAAGAAAGCAGCUUCAGCAAAGCCACAGAAAUGAGGCUAAGCCAAGAGCAGGGAGGACGGCCAGCCAUUUGGGGCGGAGAGGACACAUAUGGGAGUAGCUGGAAAUAAAUCUGACUUAUAGAUACUUAGUAAGUGGCUGUAUAAUUCUUUUUAAAGAACACUGCUCACAGACAGUGGCCUGGUGGAGAGCGUGACUUGAAUCAAUAAUUUCCAACCACGUUGAUGUUCCGAGACAUUGUAAUUGUUGGUUUGAUUUCACAACGUUCCACUUUCCCCCUCCGUAUCUCUCCAAAGAGCUCAUCAGAAUGGCAUCUGAGUCCUGAACACAUCAAGUUUUCCCUUUGUGGGGCUUUGCAAAGGCUUCUUGAGAAUUUCCAACUCUAAGAUAAAAUAAUACUUGGGCUGAAAAUCUAAGCACCAUGUUUCCCUGUGGGCACGCACCACCUGAGUUCCCGUUCAGACACACUCCACAGCCAUGUCCAUUUGGAGAGAUGGCAGAGGGGAAGCCUACCAAAGACUCUUAC